UAUAGAAAUAUCUUCAUCUUGAAGACUUUUAAGUAGUUCUACAUAAAUAACAGAUUAUAUUUUAUAAGCUUUUAUAAAUUUCGUCAGUGGACAGCUUCUCUAACUCAAGACGUCACUACUAAUAUGUAUUUUGAUCUUUUCAUGACUUAUGCUUAUUCUACUGUAUAGAUUGUGUAACUUUAAUUUAAAAAGGACGGACAUACUUCGCACUUGUAUGUAGCCACUUUUGUAGAUG
Cinara cedri is the source of this 235-nucleotide non-coding RNA. Lineage: Eukaryota; Metazoa; Arthropoda; Insecta; Hemiptera; Aphididae. The record is from the annotation of a GenBank genome assembly.